RNAcentral lists this ribosomal RNA (329 nucleotides) under Acinetobacter baumannii. Its description in RNAcentral is "partial 23S ribosomal RNA". It matches the Rfam family "Bacterial large subunit ribosomal RNA", at positions 1141 to 1476 of the family's 2925-position model. Lineage: Bacteria; Pseudomonadati; Pseudomonadota; Gammaproteobacteria; Moraxellales; Moraxellaceae. The record is from RNAcentral.
CUCACUGGUCGAGCGUCUCUGCGCGGAAAUUUUAACGGGGCUAAGAUACAAACCGAAGCUUAGGCUGCAUACGGAAGUAUGCGGGGUAGGGGAGCGUUGUGUAAGCGGAGAAACAGUAGCGUAAGCGGCUGUGGAGUUUACAGAAGUGAGAAUGCCGGAAUGAGUAGCGCGAAUGAUGUGAGAAUCAUCAUGGCCGGAAACCUCAGGUUUUUGGAGGAAGGUUCGUCCGCUCCAAGUUAGGCGGGAGCUAAGGUGAGGCCGAAAGGCGUAGCCGAUGCACAGACGGUAGAGAUUCCGUCCCCACCGAAAGAUUUAAGCGCAGGGACACU